RNAcentral lists this ribosomal RNA (580 nucleotides) under Glomeromycotina sp. RNAcentral describes it as "eukaryotic LSU rRNA". It matches the Rfam family "Eukaryotic large subunit ribosomal RNA", at positions 110 to 629 of the family's 3401-position model. The record is from RNAcentral. Lineage: Eukaryota; Fungi; Glomeromycota.
CAAAUUUAAAAUCUACCUGGUUUCCAGGUCGAGUUGUAAUUUGAAGAUACGUUUUUGACGUUCCGGGUUGAACUAAAUCCUUUGGGAUAAGGUAUCAUGGAGGGUGAGAAUCCCGUAUAUACCAACCRUAGGGAUGUUAUUUAAUACGUUUCUAAGAGUCGAGUUGUUUGGGAAUGCAGCUCUAAAUGGGUGGUAAAUUUCACCUAAUGCUAAAUAUAAGCGAGAGACCGAUAGCGAACAAGUACAGUGAUGGAAAGAUGAAAAGAACUUUGAAAAGAGAGUUAAAUAGUAYGUGAAAUUGUUGAAAGGGAAACGAUUGAAGUCAGUCAUGCCAGUGGGAAUCAACUUAGAGGAAACUCUGAGUGCACUUCUUCGCUUGGCAGGUCAACGUYGAUUUUGGAUGUCAUAAAAUGAUUGGGGGAAGGUAGCUCYUUCGGGAGUGUUAUAGCCCUUGGUAGAUGUGAUGUCUGGGAUCGAGGAUUGCAAUGGAUACCCUUUGGGGCUAGCCGCCUGAUCUCUAAUCGGUAUUGGGUUACGGAUAGCAUGCUGACCGUGAUCUAAUUAUUGGUUAAAAGGUUAG